This 878-nucleotide ribosomal RNA is filed under the name uncultured eukaryote. Its description in RNAcentral is "bacterial SSU rRNA". It matches the Rfam family "Eukaryotic small subunit ribosomal RNA", at positions 624 to 1495 of the family's 1831-position model. The record is from RNAcentral.
AAGCUCGUAGUUGGAUUUCUGGUAGGAGCUCUUGGUCCGCUGCUUUUGUGGUGUGUACUUUUUGAGUCUCUAGCCAUCCUUGAGGAGAUGCAUGCUGUCAUUGAUUUGUCGGUGUGUGGAACCUCAUCGUUUACUGUGAAAAAAUUAGAGUGUUUAAAGCAGGCUUACGCCGUUGAAUACAUUAGCAUGGAAUAAUAAGAUAGGACUAGGGUGUCUAUUUUGUUGGUUUGCACACCUUAUGUAAUGAUUAAUAGGGUCAGUUGGGGGUAUUCGUAUUUACUUGUCAGAGGUGAAAUUCUUAGAUUUCGGAAAGACGAACUACUGCGAAAGCUUUUACCAAGGAUGUUUUCAUUAAUCAAGAACGAAAGUUAGGGGAUCGAAGAUGAUUAGAUACCAUCGUAGUCUUUAACCAUAAACUAUGCCCGACUCGGGGAUUUGGUGGGGGAUUUAAUUAACGACUCCAUCAGCACCCGUAUGUGAAAAACAAAAGUCUUUGGGUUCCCGGGGGGGAGUAUGGUCGCAAGGCUUGAAAACUUAAAAGGAAUUUGACGGAAGGGGCACCCACCAGGAGUGGGAGCCUGCGGCUUAAUUUUGACUCAAACACGGGGAAAACUUUACCAGGGCCCAGACAUAGUGAGGAUUGACAGAUUGAGAGCUCUUUCUUGAUUCUAUGGGUGGGGGUGCAUGGGCCGGUCUUAGUUGGUGGAGUGAUUUGUCUGGUUAAUUCCGUUAACGAACGGAGACCUCCGCCUGCUAAUUAGUCGUACUAAUGUUUUGCAUUGAUUACGUCUUCUUAGAGGGACUUUUGGUGACUAACCAAAGGAAGUUGGAGGCAAUAACAGGUCUGUGAUGCCUUUAGAUGUUCUGGGCCGCACGCG